Lemur catta (Ring-tailed lemur) is the source of this 3285-nucleotide RNA transcript. It is a transcript of the gene named katanin catalytic subunit A1 like 2, with no coding region annotated. Lineage: Eukaryota; Metazoa; Chordata; Mammalia; Primates; Lemuridae. The transcript has 20 exons. The record is from RefSeq and is a predicted model, not a curated record.
UGUACUGGUCAGCCCAGCGACUGGCUCCCUUUUCCGCCUUCUCUCGGGCCCUAACACAGUGUCCGAUGGAGCUUUCUUACCAGACCCUCAAAUUAACGCACCAGGCGCGGGAAGCGUGCGAGAUGAGGAUGGAAGCACGACGAAAAAAUCUUCUCAUUUUGAUUUUGCAUUAUUUAACUCAAGAAGGAUAUAUUGAUACGGCCAAUGCUUUGGAGCACGAAACUAAACUGGGGUUACGACGCUUUGAAGUCUGUGACAACGUUGAUCUUGAAACUAUUUUGAUGGAAUAUGAGAGCUAUUAUUUUGUAAAAUUUCAGAAAUACCCCAAAAUUGUCAAAAAGGCAUCAGACACAGCAGAAAAUAAUUUACCGCAAAGAAGUGGAGGGAAGACCAGAAGGGUGAUGAGCGACAGCAGUCAAAAUCUUCCCAGGAUCACCCAGCAGAGGCCACGGUCCAAAGCCACCACUGGGAAGUCAGGGGACACCAGGUCUCUCAACAAGGAGCAUCCGAAACAGGAGGUUAAUAACACCCACCUGGACAGUGCUGACUUUGGCUUAAAUAUAUCUAGAAUCAGCAAAGACAGUGGAGAGGAAAACGCCCACCCACGAAGAGGCCAGAUCAUUGACUUCAGGGGGCUGCUCACAGAUGCCAUCAAAGGAGCAACUAGUGAAUUAGCCUUGAACACCUUUGACCGUAACCCAGACCCCUCAGAACGACUGCUAAAACCUCUGAGUGCAUUUAUUGGCAUGAACAGUGAGAUGCGAGAAUUGGCAACCGUUGUGAGCCGGGACAUUUAUCUCCAUAAUCCAAACAUAAAGUGGAAUGACAUUAUUGGACUCGAUGCAGCCAAGCGGUUAGUCAAAGAAGCUGUUGUGUAUCCUAUAAGGUAUCCACAGCUAUUUACAGGAAUUCUUUCCCCCUGGAAAGGACUACUGCUGUACGGCCCUCCAGGUACAGGAAAGACUUUACUGGCCAAAGCUGUGGCCACUGAAUGCAAAACAACCUUCUUUAACAUUUCUGCAUCCACUAUUGUCAGCAAAUGGAGAGGGGAUUCAGAAAAACUUGUUCGGGUGUUAUUUGAACUUGCCCGCUACCACGCACCUUCCACCAUCUUCCUGGACGAGCUGGAGUCGGUGAUGAGCCAGAGAGGCAUGGCUCCUGGGGGAGAACAUGAAGGAAGCCUUCGGAUGAAGACAGAGUUACUGGUGCAGAUGGACGGGCUGGCGCGCUCAGAAGAUCUCGUGUUUGUCUUAGCAGCCUCUAACCUGCCAUGGGAGCUGGACUGUGCCAUGUUACGCCGUCUGGAGAAGAGGAUUUUGGUUGAUCUCCCCUGCCGGGAGGCCAGGCAGGCCAUGAUCCACCACUGGCUGCCCCCUGUGAGCAAAAGCACAGCCCUGGAGCUGCGCACAGAGCUGGAGUACAGCGUGCUGAGCCAGGAGACUGAGGGCUACUCGGGCUCAGACAUUAAGCUGGUCUGCAGGGAAGCAGCCAUGCGGCCCGUGAGGAAGAUCUUCAACGCGCUUGAAAAUCACCAGUCAGAGAGCAGCAAUUUACCUGGGAUCCAGUUGGAUACAGUGACCACUGCCGACUUUUUGGAUGUGCUAGCUCACACCAAACCCUCCGCAAAGAAUAUGACUCAGAGAUACUCAGCCUGGCAGAGAGAGUUCGAGUCGGUCUGAGAUCACGUUUACCCUGACCUGGCCACAAAGGCAACCACGGAGGUCUCCUAAUUUAUUAGUCUUCUGCAAACCCCGACCAAACUAGCCCGGCUUGGAAAUGCCACUGAGUAUUUUGAUUCUAGAGCUAAUAGCAGGGGUGAGUACACACCACCAUCACCAGCUACCGGUCUGAGUGUUUUGAGUUCUGGUCCCCAGUAGCGUCUUUUGACACUUUUCCCAUCUCACAUUCGGCGUUCUAUGCCUUUCUCUUUCCUUGUCUGAGUGUAUCUGAGCGCUGUAUUUGCUUCAGACUCUAACGCAUCUGCAGCGUAGGAUGGAGCACGCGGGCUUCGAGAACAUUUGUUCUGAGCCUCCCCUGCUUAGGCUCCUCCCCAUGUCCUUACAGGGUUAUAAGUGGCUUAGAAGCGUCUCUCAGAAACCCACAGUCAGAGGCAUCUACUUUCAACUCCUGAUGAACUUCGAAGGCUCCCACUAAGCUGCCACUUCUCUCCCACACUGGGACUCACCUAUGGGACUUUUUCUUCUCUUUUCCUUGCCUUGUUUUCGCCAUCCCUGCAGGCAGAUUUCUCCAGAAAGGAAAUACUCCCAAGAAAAGAGGCAUUUUGGAUGGCUAAGUAUUCCAGAGGAUUUUACUCUUUUAAGCACGAUGAAAACCUUUUUUUUUGGGGGGGGGGUAUUGAUUAUUUUGAGUGAUUAUCAAAUGCCUCCUAAAAUGUCGUUUCAUGGAAAUUGUAGUCAAAUUGAAAAUAUGCCUUAUAUAACGAAUUUAAAAUAAAAAAGAUUUCAGUUCAUGCUGAAUUUAAACUUCUGCAUGAGCAUUAGGUACCAGCUGCUGCAGCGCUGUCUCAGAUCCACAUGGCCAGACACAGCAGAGGUGACAACUCAAAGGCCUACAGGAGCAUGAAACGCAGCAGCAAAUGAGUGAAGUAAGCUUAGCGUAAGGCAAGGCAGAGGUGAGAACUGUGGUGAACUGGAGAGGGCCAGAGACCCUCUGGAGGACCCAGCAGUGACUCGGCUCCAAUUGAGCAUGGCAAUUUGCACGUACCAUUCCCAGCUCCUCCAAUCAUCCUAGAAAACCCAGUGGUUGAUUUGCAUGUCAAGCUCCUAAUGUUCAGGUGUUGGCCACUUAGGUUAACGAGCUGCCUGUAGAAUUCACACGGCCUGUUCCCACCCAUUCAGAUCACCUGCAGAAGCCGUCCCUGACCGCCCAUACUUACCCGAAGCCCAACCACAGCCCCAGUAGCUGUGUCCCUCUCCAUCGCUUAUCGGCACAUCAGCUGGUGAAACAAACAGGAGUUGAGCUGUGUAUGACAGCUACUCAGUAACUAGAAGAUCUGAAUUGAAAAUUGUAACUUGAUGUUCUCAAAAGAAGUACCAGUUUCUGACUUCAACAUGCUUUACUGAUUACAAUCAACAAGAACAGAUCGAUAGCAACUGAUGAGAGACGGAGAAUCUAAGAGGCAAGGGAAAUUAGACUUUCUAAUUGACACAGUUGAAGUUAACACAUUCAUGAUAAGUAUGAAAUGAACUGCAGAUUCUACAGUUUUCUACAUCAUGCCUGAUCUACUUUUAGUUUCACAAAUAUUAUUUUAUAAUUAAAGCAUGU